Molecule: ribosomal RNA, 468 nt
Filed under: uncultured bacterium
Lineage: Bacteria
Description: partial 16S ribosomal RNA
Rfam family: Bacterial small subunit ribosomal RNA
Source: RNAcentral
GACGAACGCUGGCGGCGUGCUUAACACAUGCAAGUCGAACGGAAAGGCCCUGCGUUUGUGGGGUGCUCGAGUGGCGAACGGGUGAGUAACACGUGAGUAACCUGCCCUUGACUUUGGGAUAACUUCAGGAAACUGGGGCUAAUACCGGAUAGGAGCUCCUGCUGCGUGGUGGGGGUUGGAAAGUUUCGGCGGUUGUGGAUGGACUCGCGGCUUAUCAGCUUGUUGGUGGGGUAGUGGCUUACCAAGGCUUUGACGGGUAGCCGGCCUGAGAGGGUUACCGGCCACAAUGGGACUGAGAGACGCAGCAGAAGCCUACGGGCGGCAGCAGUGGGAAAUAUUGCGGAAUGGGGGGAAGCCUGAUGCGGAAACGCCGCGUGCGGGAUGAUGGCCUUCGGGUUGUAAACCGAUUUCGCAUGUGACGAAGCGUGAGUGACGGUAAUGGGUAAAAAAGCAACGGCUAACUACGUG